Long non-coding RNA from Fundulus heteroclitus (mummichog), 1079 nucleotides. RefSeq lists it as uncharacterized. The record is from RefSeq and is a predicted model, not a curated record. The transcript is spliced from 3 exons. NCBI's taxonomy places the organism in Eukaryota, Metazoa, Chordata, Actinopteri, Cyprinodontiformes, Fundulidae.
CGGUUCUGAACCCUAUUGAAAAUGUAUGGACUCAAUAGCUGCAUCAGUACCAACCAUUUUAAAGAAAAAAUUAAAAGUGUCUUUUAAAGAUGGAAGUUAAAAUGAAGCGCACUAACAUGAUUUUAAUCACGACAUAUUGAAAAAAUACUUCUGUGGCGUUUGGCAUUUUCAUUGACCAUUCAGCUGUGUGAUGUUACCUGAGCCAUGAGUAUAAUGGCACACAGCCAUUGAACAGCACCAAGUGGUAGAACAAGUUUAUCCUACACAUAUUAACUGUUAAAACUUGGCUGGAAUAAUAACAAGAGUUUUUUAUUUAUCCCAAAGACAGGAGACUUCAAACAACUUGGAUAUGUAAGCAUUGACAUGAGAAUCACAACCCAAACCCGAGUGAACCUGUGCAAUGCCCAUCACUUUGAAGAGGAGGCCUUCAAAUACAAGCCGUGGCUGCAAUUGAUGGGUGAAUGUGUCCCGCACCUGAGGCUCAUUUGGAAACCCUCAUCUCUGGCUUAAAAGGAGUGCACAGACAGCUGGAAGACGCCAGAGUGUUACCCCGUUGUGGUAUGCCUAGGCCACUAAUCUCUCUACCGAACUUCGUACCUGUGAGUUUUUGGAAAUGCUGUUUUUGGACUAAUCCUGCCUCCUGUCCAGUUUGUCGUGUUUGGGUUUACUCACCUGUGUUGGCUCCGUGCUCUGAGGACCAGUUGUCCAAAAACCCACCGCUCAGAUUUUGCUCUGGCAUCUCCACUCACACUCCCUUGGUGGUACCAAGCCGGGCGUGAGAACCCCCUUCCUGGAUUCACCUGGUUUGACAGUCACUCUCCAGUUCUUCCAGCUGCUCCUCCUGCCUGCCACUGCAGUGGUGCUGUUCGGGCCCCCCGCCUGUAUUACAUCCGCCAGCCCUCCUGUCACUCAGCCACCACCUCCCAUCAGAGUUACGAUCGCAGAGCUCCUUUUUCACUCAUCUCCCCCAGAUAGGUCUCCCCAUCCAAACGUCGUUCCAGCUCUGACGUUCCGACCUCGUUUGCUGCCCACAUUGUGUUCUUUCCCUUUGUUGAGCCCAAAUAAACAUCUUAAAACUG